RNAcentral lists this ribosomal RNA (460 nucleotides) under uncultured bacterium. RNAcentral's name for it is "partial 16S ribosomal RNA". It matches the Rfam family "Bacterial small subunit ribosomal RNA", at positions 338 to 795 of the family's 1533-position model. The record is from RNAcentral.
CCUACGGGUGGCAGCAGUGAGGAAUAUUGGUCAAUGGGCGGAAGCCUGAACCAGCCAAGUCGCGUGAGGGAAUAAGGCCCUACGGGUCGUAAACCUCUUUUGCCGGGGAGCAAGGGCCGGGACGAGUCCCGGUCCGGAGAGUACCCGGAGAAAAAGCAUCGGAAAACUCCGUGCCAGCAGCCGCGGUAAUACGGAGGAUGCGAGCGUUAUCCGGAUUUAUUGGGUUUAAAGGGUGCGGAGGCGGGCUUUUAAGUCAGCGGUAAAAAUUCGGGGCUCAAACCCGUCCGGCCGUUGAAACUGGGGGCCUUGAGUGGGCGAGAAGAAGGCGGAAUGCGUGGUGUAGCGGUGAAAUGCAUAGAUAUCACGCAGAACCCCGAUUGCGAAGGCAGCCUUCCGGCGCCCUACUGACGCUGAGGCACGAAAGUGCGGGGAUCGAACAGGAUUAGAUACCCCAGUAGUC